Molecule: ribosomal RNA, 449 nt
Filed under: uncultured bacterium
Lineage: Bacteria
Description: partial 16S ribosomal RNA
Rfam family: Bacterial small subunit ribosomal RNA
Source: RNAcentral
CCUACGGGGGGCUGCAGUGGGGAAUAUUGGACAAUGGGCGCAAGCCUGAUCCAGCAAUGCCGCGUGUGUGAAGAAGGCCUGCGGGUUGUAAAGCACUUUAAGCCGGAAAGAAGGCUUCAAGGCUCAUAUCCUUGUAGAUUGACGUUACCGGCCGAAUAAGCACCGGCUAACUCCGUGCCAGCAGCCGCGGUAAUACGGAGGGUGCGAGCGUUAAUCGGAAUUACUGGGCCGGAUCCGUGCGUAGGCGGUUAAAGCCCUGGGCUGAACCUGGGAACUGCAGUGGAAACUGGAGGGCUAGAGUAUGGUAGAGGAGGGUGGAAUUUCCGGUGUAGCAGUGAAAUGCGUAGAGAUCGGAAGGAACACCAGUGGCGAAGGCGGCUCUCUGGACCAAUACUGACGCUGAGGUGCGAAAGCGUGGGGAGCAAACAGGAUUAGAUACCCGUGUAGUC